UACAGAGGGUGCUAACGUUGUUCGGAAUUACUGGGCUUAAAGCGCACGUAGGCGGCUAGGCAAGUGCGAUGUGAAAGCCCCCGGCCCAACCGGGGAACUGCAUCGUAGACUGCCUGGCUUGAGAGCGGUAGGGGAGACUAGAACUCCUGGUGGAGCGGUGAAAUGCGCAGAUAUCAGGAGGAACACCGGUGGCGAAGGCGGAUCUCUGGGCCAUUACUGACGCUGAGGAGCGAAAGCGUGGGGAGCGAACAGG
Molecule: ribosomal RNA, 253 nt
Filed under: uncultured bacterium
Lineage: Bacteria
Description: partial 16S ribosomal RNA
Rfam family: Bacterial small subunit ribosomal RNA
Source: RNAcentral